This 468-nucleotide ribosomal RNA is filed under the name uncultured bacterium. Its description in RNAcentral is "partial 16S ribosomal RNA". It matches the Rfam family "Bacterial small subunit ribosomal RNA", at positions 28 to 507 of the family's 1533-position model. The record is from RNAcentral.
GACGAACGCUGGCGGCGUGCUUAACACAUGCAAGUCGAACGGAAAGGCCCUGCUUUUGUGGGGUGCUCGAGUGGCGAACGGGUGAGUAACACGUGAGUAACCUGCCCUUGACUUUGGGAUAACUUCAGGAAACUGGGGCUAAUACCGGAUAGGAGCUCCUGCUGCAUGGGGGGGGUUGGAAAGUUUCGGCGGUUGGGGAUGGACUCGCGGCUUAUCAGCUUGUUGGUGGGGUAGUGGCUUACCAAGGCUUUGACGGGUAGCCGGCCUGAGAGGGUGACCGGCCACAUUGGGACUGAGAUACGGCCCAGACGCCUACGGGAGGCAGCAGUGGGGAAUAUUGCACAAUGGGCGGAAGCCUGAUGCAGCAACGCCGCGUGCGGGAUGACGGCCUUCGGGUUGUAAACCGCUUUCGCCUGUGACGAAGCGUGAGUGACGGUAAUGGGUAAAGAAGCACCGGCUAACUACGUG